AUGAACGCUGGCGGCGUGUCUAAGGCAUGCAAGUCGAACGGGUUUGAUGACCGCAAGGAAGUCAAACUAGUGGCAAACGGGUGAGUAACACAUUAGUAACCUACCUCAAAGUUCACAACAACCCUGCGAAAGCGGGGCUAAUAGUGGAUGUGAUCGUUUCGCGAAAGCGGGACGCUUAAAGAUGCAAAACAUCGCUUUGAGAGGGGCUUAUGGUCUAUCAGCUAGUUGGUGAGGUAAUGGCCCACCAAGGCUUCGACGGAUAGCGGGCGUGAGAGCGCGACCCGCCUCACUGGGACUGAGACACUGCCCAGACUCCUACGGGAGGCUGCAGUCGAGAAUAUUCCCCAAUGGACGAAAGUCUGAGGGAGCGACGCCGCGUGUAUGAAGACGCCCUUCGGGGUGUAAAGUACUUUUUUCGGGGACGAAUUUUGACGGUACCCGAAGAAUAAGAGGUUGCUAACUCUGU
This 466-nucleotide ribosomal RNA is filed under the name uncultured bacterium. RNAcentral's name for it is "partial 16S ribosomal RNA". It matches the Rfam family "Bacterial small subunit ribosomal RNA", at positions 29 to 506 of the family's 1533-position model. The record is from RNAcentral.